This 468-nucleotide ribosomal RNA is filed under the name uncultured bacterium. RNAcentral's name for it is "partial 16S ribosomal RNA". It matches the Rfam family "Bacterial small subunit ribosomal RNA", at positions 28 to 507 of the family's 1533-position model. The record is from RNAcentral.
GACGAACGCUGGCGGCGUGCUUAACACAUGCAAGUCGAACGGACAGGCCCUGCUUUUGUGGGGUGCUCGAGUGGCGAACGGGUGAGUAACACGCGAGUAACCUGCCCCUGACUUUGGGAUAACUUCAGGAAACUGGGGCUAAUACCGGAUAGGAGCUCCUGCUGCAUGUGGGUGGUUGGAAAGUUUCGGCGGUUGGGGAUGGACUCGCGGCUUAUCAGCUUGUUGGUGUGGUAGUGGCUUACCAAGGCUUUGACGGGUAGCCGGCCUGAGAGGGUGACCGGCCACAUUGGGCCUGAGAUACGGCCCAGACGCCUACGGGAGGCAGCAGGGGGGAAUAUUGCAGAAUGGGCGGAAGCCAGAUGCAGCAACGCCGCGUGCGGGAUGACGGCCUUCGGGUUAUAAACCGCUUUCGCCGGUGACGAAGAGGGAGUGACGGUAAUGGGUAAGGAAGCACCGGCUAACUACGUG